AACAUAGGUAAUGAAUUUUUUAUUUAAAAUUGUAUUCAAUGACUUUACAUCUCACAAUAAUCCGCAUUGCACUCAGUGAAAGUAACUGAACUUUAAGGUAAAAAUGCCCUUAAGCAGUCGCACUAUGAAAAUAUUGGACGCUGCAUUAUGCAGUAAUGAGGAGCACAUUCUAUUUACCGAAAGUGAAUUUGAUAUAAUGCCAGUCGACAUCAUUGAUCAUGAAGUCCUAGAAACUUCUAUGAAUAUAAGUCAUAACUAGAGAUGGGAUUUUAGGCCCAUUGGCCUAUAUAGUGCCGGUGAAAUUAAAAUACAAAUUUUAACGUAUAACUUAUUAUAAAGGGCACUAUAUUUUGCCUAAAGUGCCUUUUUUCGCAAAUUGAUACCUAUUUUAGAAUUUGUAAAGGGAAUGUGCCUAUUUCUGAGGCAUGUUGACCUAUUUUCUCUGUUUUUUUUUUUUUGAGGGCAUUAACUGCUAUGGUCAUAUUACCCCAAUUAGGGCGCCCCCAAAUCUCUCACUACACUUUAGAUCUGUCUGUAUAUACCUAUUUCUCUUAGAAAACUUAGGGUACUUUUUGCAUUUAUCGUUGCACAGAAGUUUUCGACAUAUUCUCGAUUUAAACUAUGCAGCGCCCUUUCGUUGUUAUACAUGGGGCAUUCCUGAAUUAUGUGCCGAAUGGUUACAGUAGUCCCACAUCGUUCGCACUGUCGGGCAAUCUCACCCUUAAGAAUAUGUUGGUGCGUUAUCUGCGUAUGCCCUAUUCGCAGUCGGUGCAUUUUUACAUUUUCUUCCCUAGUGGCCUGGUCUAACACAUAGAGUUUCCGUACAUCUGGUUUUAUUCGGGUCAGGUAUUCUCCUAAGUCCAACGGAUGUAUAAGGUUAACAUCAAUGUGAUUACUUAACGCAGCCUGGCAUGCAGCAUGGUCUGCUUGAUCGUUUCCAGAACUUGAGAAUGGACUGGCAUCUUUUCGUCAUCGCACCAACAGGAUAUAUUUCAGAGAUCCCAUUCACUGCUUCCAUACAAUCUGUGACGAUGAUAACAUUUUGUCUAUCGCCGAUGGAGCAAUAUAACAACGCCUGCCACAGCGCAUAUUGUUCGGCAAAGCGAAUUGAGGACCACGAACAUAAACUCCAUUCAUAGGACUCUUCUCCAAUCACCAUCGCACUUCCAACACCUCUCUCCGUUCUAGACCCGUCAGUAUAGAUGAUUUCAUACGAAGGAUAUUCAUUACAUAUAUCUUGGAAUUUCUGUAUGAGUCAUCCACGGUGCAAACUCUUGUGUAGUGUUUUCCAGAAUUUCCGGAAGAGCGAUACCUUGCAAUUGAAUAUCCUCAUAAAACCUCACACUUGCUGUUGUUGUUGGAAUCUAUGAAUUGCACAAUUUCGAAACACCUUGUAUACUUUAGUCAAAUCGGCAACACAGGUAUAAAUCUUUAC
Molecule: long non-coding RNA, 1435 nt
Organism: Photinus pyralis (common eastern firefly)
Lineage: Eukaryota; Metazoa; Arthropoda; Insecta; Coleoptera; Lampyridae
Exons: 4
Source: RefSeq, a predicted model, not a curated record